UACGGAGGGUGCAAGCGUUAAUCGGAAUUACUGGGCGUAAAGGGCGCGUAGGUUGUUAAGUAAGUUGGCUGUGAAAGCCCCGGGCUCAACCUGGGAUGGUCAGUCAAAACUGCUUGACUAGAGUGUAGUAGAGGGUAGUGGAAUUUCAGGUGUAGCGGUGAAAUGCGUAGAGAUCUGAAGGAACACCAGUGGCGAAGGCGGCUACCUGGACUAACACUGACACUGAGGCGCGAAAGCAUGGGUAGCGAAC
This 250-nucleotide ribosomal RNA is filed under the name uncultured bacterium. RNAcentral's name for it is "partial 16S ribosomal RNA". It matches the Rfam family "Bacterial small subunit ribosomal RNA", at positions 524 to 773 of the family's 1533-position model. The record is from RNAcentral.